This 253-nucleotide ribosomal RNA is filed under the name uncultured Gemmata sp. RNAcentral describes it as "partial 16S ribosomal RNA". It matches the Rfam family "Bacterial small subunit ribosomal RNA", at positions 524 to 776 of the family's 1533-position model. The record is from RNAcentral. Lineage: Bacteria; Pseudomonadati; Planctomycetota; Planctomycetia; Gemmatales; Gemmataceae.
GACGAACCGUGCGAACGUUGUUCGGAAUCACUGGGCUUAAAGGGCGCGUAGGUGGUCUGUCAAGUCGGGGGUGAAAUCUUUCGGCUCAACCGGAAAACUGCCUUCGAUACUGGCAGGCUAGAGGGAGAUAGGGGUUGCGGGAACUACCAGUGGAGCGGUGAAAUGCGUUGAUAUUGGUAGGAACGCCGGUGGCGAAAGCGCGCAACUGGAUCUCUUCUGACACUGAUGCGCGAAAGCUAGGGGAGCAAACGGG